UGGGGAAUAUUGCACAAUGGGGGAAACCCUGAUGCAGCAACGCCGCGUGAGUGAUGAAGGUCUUCGGAUUGUAAAACUCUGUCUUUGGGGACGAUAAUGACGGUACCCAAGGAGGAAGCCACGGCUAACUA
This 131-nucleotide ribosomal RNA is filed under the name uncultured bacterium. Its description in RNAcentral is "partial 16S rRNA". It matches the Rfam family "Bacterial small subunit ribosomal RNA", at positions 355 to 503 of the family's 1533-position model. The record is from RNAcentral.